Molecule: ribosomal RNA, 468 nt
Filed under: uncultured bacterium
Lineage: Bacteria
Description: partial 16S ribosomal RNA
Rfam family: Bacterial small subunit ribosomal RNA
Source: RNAcentral
GACGAACGCUGGCGGCGUGCUUAACACAUGCAAGUCGAACGGAAAGGCCCUGCUUUUGUGGGGUGCUCGAGUGGCGAACGGGUGAGUAACACGUGAGUAACCUGCCCUUGACUUUGGGAUAACUUCAGGAAACUGGGGCUAAUACCGGAUAUGAGCUCCUGCUGCAUGGUGGGGGUUGGAAAGUUUCGGCGGUUGGGGAUGGACUCGCGGCUUAUCAGCUUGUUGGUGGGGUAGUGGCUUACCAAGGCUUUGACGGGUAGCCGGCCUGAGAGGGUGACCGGCCACAUUGUGACUGAGAUACGGCCCAGACUCCUACGGGAGGCAGAAGUGGGGAAUAUUGCACAAUGGGCGGAAGCCUGAUGCAGCAACGCCGCGUGCGGGAUGACGGCCUUCGGGUUGUAAACCGCUUUCGCCUGUGACGAAGCGUGAGUGACGGUAAUGGGUAAAGAAGCAACGGCUAACUACGUG